CGUAGGGUGCAAGCGUUAAUCGGAAUUACUGGGCGUAAAGCGUGCGCAGGCGGUUCCGCAAGUCAGAUGUGAAAUCCCCGGGCUCAACCUGGGAACUGCAUUUGAAACUACGGGGCUAGAGUGUGUCAGAGGGGGGUGGAAUUCCACGUGUAGCAGUGAAAUGCGUAGAGAUGUGGAGGAACACCAAUGGCGAAGGCAGCCCCCUGGGAUGACACUGACGCUCAUGCACGAAAGCGUGGGAGCAAACAGGAUU
This 253-nucleotide ribosomal RNA is filed under the name uncultured bacterium. Its description in RNAcentral is "partial 16S ribosomal RNA". It matches the Rfam family "Bacterial small subunit ribosomal RNA", at positions 526 to 779 of the family's 1533-position model. The record is from RNAcentral.